UUUCUGGAUCUUUUCAAAGAUUCUUUGUCUUAGCUUCCAGACCGCCACUGCCCAGUAGCACUCAGGAGCUCUGGAGCAGAAAGGAAUGUGUCCAAGGUGAGGGCUUGGGCUCUCUGUGCCCCAGCUAACACUCAGUAAGGAAUUCCUGCCUUAUUCACCUUGUUCUCCCUCAAACCAAAGUGUUUUCCCACGGAGAAGCGGGCAGGGAGGGUUUGUUAGCUGGCAGCUGGCUUUGGGGAGCAGAAGGACAGGGGGUGAGGCGCAGCACACCCCGUGCUCCCAUCCGAGCCUCAUGCUGCUGCUGGCUUUUCCCCUCACAGCUGAGGAGCGCAGCAGCACGGCGCCUGGGAAAGCAGCCCUCAAGGAACGGGAGGCGUUUAAUGCCCGGAAUAUCCUCAAGCUCUUCGAGCACUUCUACUUCGGCGAGGUGCAGCUGGACGCGGUUCGGCUCUCCCAGAGGUUCUCCACGGACGCCUCCGGCUACUACGCGACGUCGGGGCAGCUCAACUUCUGCUGAGCAGCAGCGCGGCCGCCCUGUGCGCCACCACCACCACCAUGUUUUCAUAGGGCGAGGAGUCUGGAACUGCAGACGGGUUCGUUUUCCAAGAAAACAGCUGGAAAAACUGGCUUUGGGGGGCACCUCCCUGCUGUCGCCUGUUUCAGAGGAGGAAGGCCGCGCUGUACAGAAGCGUGCGCGAUCCAGGAGAGCUCCCCGGAGCGCGGUAUCGGGGUCAGGCGCUGCUCAGAGCUCCAGCAGUGCGCCCGUGUGAUGUCGAUCUCCAAAUAAAUUAAUUCUCUUCAAAGGCAAAGCCUUUGUCUCCGCUUGCUUGAUGGUUUCUGUAAUCAAACUUCCAGCUGUGAGCGGGAAAGCACUGGUGGCAGGAGAGCUGGGUGGUGUGUGGGGAUGUGGUGCCUUGGGGUCUGGUGUGUUGGGGUCUGGUAUCUUUGGAAACUGGGGUUUGGGGUCUGGUGUGCUGGGUCUGGUGUGUUGGGGCGUGGUGCCUUGGGGUCUGAAGGCUGGUGUCCUGGGGUCUGGUGUCCUGAGGUCUUGGGGUCUGGUGCAUUGGGGUCUGGUGUGUUGGGGUCUGGGGGGUCUGGUGUGCUGGGAACUUGGGUUUUGGGGUCUGGUGCGUUGGGGUUUGGUGUGUUGGGGUCUAGUGUUUUGGGGUCUGAGGGCUGGUGUUUUGGGAUUUGGUGUCUUGGGGUCUGGUGCGUUGGGGUCUGGCGUGUUGGGGUGUGGUGCCUUGGGGUCUGAAGGCUGCUGUCCUGGUGUCCUGGUGUAUGGUGUCCUGAGGUCUUGGGGUCUGCUGUGUUUGGGUUGGGUUUGGUUGGGUUUGGUGUGUUGGGGACCUGAGGUCUGCUGUGCGUGGCUCUGGCGUCUUGGGGUCUUGAGGGCUGGCGCGUUGGGGUCUGGCACAUUGGGGUCUGGGGGCUGUGGCGUGCUGGGAACUUGGGGUUUGGGCUCUGGUGAGUUGGGGUUUGCUGUGUUGGGGUCUGAGUGCUGGCGCUGGGCGCCUGAGGCGGCCGCAGGCCUCGCCCCCCCCCAGCGGCGCAGGUGCAGGCGCCGCCCCUCGCCCCCCGCCCGGCCCCUCCCGGCCGCGCUCGGCUCCUGUCGGCUCCUGUCGCCGCCCCUCGCCUCCCUUCGGCUGCGCUCGGCCCCGCUCGGCCCCGCUCGGCUCCCGGCGGCGCUGCGGCAGGAUGCGGGGCUGCGGCGCGCUGCGGGGGCUGCCGCUGCUGCUGCUGCUGCUGCUGCUGCCCGGCACCGCCACCGGCACCGCCACCAACACCGGCACCGGCACCUCCACCGGCACCGGCAGCGCCCCGGCAGGGAACUUCUUGGAGGAUGAGCAGUGGCUGUCCUCCAUCGCGCAGUACGGCGGCCGCAUCCGGCACUGGAACCGCUUCCGAGACGUGAGUGAGCCGCGGGGGGCCGGGGGGCGGCGGGGGGCUGCGGGGCGCCCGGCUCACCCCCAGCCUCCGGCCUCUCCCCCUCUGCAAUACCGCUGCCGCCCGGAGCGCAGGAGGUGGAGGUGAGAGCGGGGAGGGGGUGCACGGGGGUGUGCAAGGAAUGGGGACGUGCAAGGAAUGGGUGUGCAAGGAAUGGGGAUGUGCAAUGCACCGGGAUGUGCAAUGCACCAGGGUGUUUGUGUGCAAUGCACGGGGGUGUGCGAUGCACAGGGAUGUGCAAUGCACCGGGGUGUGCAAUGCACCAGGGUGUCUGUGUGCAAUGCACGGGGAUGUGCGGUGCACAAGGAUGUGCAAUGCACCGGGAUGUGCAAUGCACCGGGGGGUUUGUGUGCAAUGCACGGGGGUGUGCGGCGAGUGGGGGUGUGCGAUGCACAAGGACGUGCGGUGCGCCGGGAGGUGCGGUGCAGCAGGAUGCUCGUGUGCAAUGCAGAGGGGUGGGAAACGCACGGGGAUGUGCAAUGCACCGCGGGGGGCAAUGCACGGGGAGGUGCGCGUGCAGCGUGCAGGGGUGUGCAACGCACGGGGGGGUGCAGGGCAUGAGGAUGUGCCUGUGCAAUGCAGCGGGAUGUGCAGCGUGCAGGGAUGCACGUGUGCAAUGCACGGGGGUGUGCAAUGAAUGGGCUGUGUGUGUGUGUGUGCCUGUGCGGUGCAUGGGGGCGCGGUGCAUGAGGGUGCAAGCACCCGCUGUGCAGUGCGUGUGCGCCGUGCACGGGCGUGCAGUGCCUCCGUCUAGCGUGCAGCGCCCGGGCAUGUGCAGUGCAUGCGUGUGCAACGCCCGCGUGCAAGGCUCAGGGGCGUGCAGCGCCUGCGUGCGCGCACAGUGUCCCCGUGCCAUGCACCUGCUCCUCCUGCCGGGCCGGGGACGCUGCUCGCACCCCC
RNAcentral lists this long non-coding RNA (2847 nucleotides) under Anas platyrhynchos platyrhynchos (common mallard). RNAcentral describes it as "lncRNA (ENSAPLG00000028458.1)". Lineage: Eukaryota; Metazoa; Chordata; Aves; Anseriformes; Anatidae. The record is from RNAcentral.